CAGUAGCCGCGGUAAAACGAAGGGUGCAAGCGUUACUCGGAAUUACUGGGCGUAAAGCGUGCGUAGGUGGUGGUUUAAGUCCGUUGUGAAAGCCCUGGGCUCAACCUGGGAAUUGCAGUGGAUACUGGGUCACUAGAGUGUGGUAGAGGAUAGUGGAAUUUCCGGUGUAGCAGUGAAAGGCGUAGAGAUCGGAAGGAACAUCUGUGGCGAAGGCGACUAUCUGGGCCAACACUGACACUGAGGCACGAAAGCGUGGGGAGCAAACAGGAUUAGAUACCCCAGUAGUCCCUGUCUCUUAUAC
Molecule: ribosomal RNA, 301 nt
Filed under: uncultured bacterium
Lineage: Bacteria
Description: partial 16S ribosomal RNA
Rfam family: Bacterial small subunit ribosomal RNA
Source: RNAcentral